RNAcentral lists this ribosomal RNA (489 nucleotides) under uncultured microorganism. RNAcentral's name for it is "bacterial SSU rRNA". It matches the Rfam family "Bacterial small subunit ribosomal RNA", at positions 9 to 482 of the family's 1533-position model. The record is from RNAcentral.
GAGUUUGAUCGUGGCUCAGGAUGAACGCUGGCGGCGUGCCUAAUACAUGCAAGUCGAGCGAACAGACGAGGAGCUUGCUCCUCUGACGUUAGCGGCGGACGGGUGAGUAACACGUGGAUAACCUACCUAUAAGACUGGGAUAACUUCGGGAAACCGGAGCUAAUACCGAAUAAUAUAUUGAACCGCAUGGUUCAAUAGUGAAAAACGGUUUUGCUGUCACUUAUAGAUGGAUCCGCGCCGCAUUAGCUAGUUGGUAGGGUAACGGCUUACCAAGGCGACGAUGCGUAGCCGACCUGAGAGGGUGAUCGGCCACACUGGAACUGAGACACGGUCCAGACUCCUACGGGAGGCAGCAGUAGGGAAUCUUCCGCAAUGGGCGAAAGCCUGACGGAGCAACGCCGCGUGAGUGAUGAAGGUCUUCGGAUCGUAAAACUCUGUUAUUAGGGAAGAACAAUGUGUAGUAACUAUGCACGUCUUGACGGUACCUAA